ACAGCAGUAGCCACGGGAAUACGUAGGGUGCAAGCGUUGUCCGGAAUCAUUGGGCGUAAAGCGCGCGUAGGUGGCCAUUUAAGUCCGCUGUGAAAGUCAAAGGCUCAACCUUUGAAAGCCGGUGGAUACUGGAUGGCUAGAGUACGGAAGAGGCGAGUGGAAUUCCUGGUGUAGCGGUGGAAUGCGCAGAUAUCAGGAGGAACACCAAUAGCGAAGGCAGCUCGCUGGGACGUUACUGACACUAAGGCGCGAAAGCGUGGGGAGCGAACAGGAUUAGAUACCCCUGUAGUCCCUGUCUCUUAUAC
This 305-nucleotide ribosomal RNA is filed under the name uncultured bacterium. Its description in RNAcentral is "partial 16S ribosomal RNA". It matches the Rfam family "Bacterial small subunit ribosomal RNA", at positions 505 to 807 of the family's 1533-position model. The record is from RNAcentral.